Molecule: ribosomal RNA, 253 nt
Filed under: uncultured bacterium
Lineage: Bacteria
Description: partial 16S ribosomal RNA
Rfam family: Bacterial small subunit ribosomal RNA
Source: RNAcentral
GACAGAGGGGGCAAGCGUUGCUCGGAAUCACUGGGCGUAAAGGGCGCGUAGGCGGGAUGGCAAGUCAGUCGUGAAAUCUCUCGGCUCAACCGAGAAACGUCGGCUGAUACUGCCGUUCUUGAGGGAUGCAGAGGAGACUGGAAUUCCUGGUGUAGAGGUGAAAUUCGUAGAUAUCAGGAGGAACACCAGUGGCGAAGGCGGCUUCCUGGACACCAACUGACGCUGAGACGCGAAAGCGUGGGGAGCGAACAGG